RNAcentral lists this ribosomal RNA (456 nucleotides) under Eikenella corrodens. RNAcentral's name for it is "bacterial SSU rRNA". It matches the Rfam family "Bacterial small subunit ribosomal RNA", at positions 30 to 473 of the family's 1533-position model. Lineage: Bacteria; Pseudomonadati; Pseudomonadota; Betaproteobacteria; Neisseriales; Neisseriaceae. The record is from RNAcentral.
AUCGAACGCUGGCGGCAUGCUUUACACAUGCAAGUCGAACGGCAGCGGGGUAGUGCUUGCACUACUGUCCGGCGAGUGGCGAACGGGUGAGUAAUAUAUCGGAACGUACCGAGUAAUGGGGGAUAACCAAUCGAAAGAUUGGCUAAUACCGCAUACGUCCUAAGGGAGAAAGCGGGGGAUCGCAAGACCUCGCGUUAUUCGAGCGGCCGAUAACUGAUUAGCUAGUUGGUGGGGUAAGGGCCUACCAAGGCGACGAUCAGUAGCGGGUCUGAGAGGACGAUCCGCCACACUGGGACUGAGACACGGCCCAGACUCCUACGGGAGGCAGCAGUGGGGAAUUUUGGACAAUGGGGGCAACCCUGAUCCAGCCAUGCCGCGUGUAUGAAGAAGGGCUUCGGGUUGUAAAGUACUUUUGUUAGGGAAGAAAAGGGAAGUGCUAAUACCACUUUUUGCUGA